GGGACCUCAAGCACCCUGAGAGCAGCUGGGAAGACACCGCAGCGAGGCACGAGCAGUCCUGGGGGUUCCUGCAGUGCUGUGACAGUAACCUUGACCCAGGCUGCGGAGGAGGCAACGAGGACAGGUACCUCCAGAACGCUUUGUGCAUGAGAGAGAAGGUCUGAGCGCGAGCCCUGCUGAGGGCAGCAAGCCCUGGGCUCAUCGGAAGCGCCCGGAGCAACARGGCCCUCGGCUGCCCGUUUGGCAAGGCAGGAAGAACACCCGGGAUUCUCCGGAAGCCCCGAAGGAGGCGACAACUUGGAAAGCSGGGCAGAAAGGGAGAGUUGGACUUUUCCCCUUGGCGCGGAGCUGCGCCU
This is a long non-coding RNA of Nothoprocta perdicaria, 356 nucleotides long. RefSeq lists it as uncharacterized. The record is from RefSeq and is a predicted model, not a curated record. The transcript is spliced from 2 exons. Lineage: Eukaryota; Metazoa; Chordata; Aves; Tinamiformes; Tinamidae.